Long non-coding RNA from Anas platyrhynchos (mallard), 2666 nucleotides. RefSeq lists it as uncharacterized. NCBI's taxonomy places the organism in Eukaryota, Metazoa, Chordata, Aves, Anseriformes, Anatidae. The record is from RefSeq and is a predicted model, not a curated record.
CAAUACAAAUUCUGCAUUUGCUACAGAAGUCACUGAGUGCUCUGUCCUGACUGUGGAGUCCUUGCCCUCAUGUGGCUCCAGGGAGCAUAAGUGGGUAGCGGCUGGGUUAACCACAAACUGGCUGUAGAAGAUUGGCAUUAGCACUGCAAGCUACCUCUGGCUGCUCUUCCAGACUCUUUAAUGCUGUUGCUCAGGGCCUUUCCUCCAUAAGGAUGAAGAAACAGCGCCACAUGUAGAAAGUAACUGUCAAAGAUUACUCAUGAAGUCCAGGACACAGUAAGGAACUGUCCCUGUUGUCUGCCCUGAGAACAGCUCUCAUUUUAAUUCUUGAAUCAAUGCUAAUCACCAACUUAAUACAGAUUUUAUUAUCAUUCCCAAAAUUUCUUUGGUGUUUGGAAAAGAGAUGGGCUAACAGCUGCCUGAGGUAUCACAGAAAAGUCUUAGUUGUGUUAAAAUAAUCAUCCCGGAGUACAAAAUACACAGUUUAUUGUAUAUUUCUAUAUGAGAAGCAAGACUGUUUUAAGACACGUUGGAUUUAUGAAUCCUUAGUGAAAGGAUCCUCUUGCACCAUCGCUUUUCUCUGUUGGAGCUGUGAUUUUAUUAAUUUAUGCUUUUCAUGAUCUUGUGGGUUACCAGUAGGGCUUGAUGAAGGGGCUUCCUGAAAUGCACAGAAAUUCUGAGUAUUCUUGUUAUGCAUAUGCUAAAUGACCACUUAAAGGGAGUCUCUUUGAACUCAGUGGGAGAAGGAUAAAGUUUAUAAAGAAUUCUGUGUAACUUGCCAUCUGCUCUUCAAAUAUUAGGAAAAUAACAAGUGUAAAAUUAGGUAUUAUUUAAACCAGUUGUAAAGAGUUUGAAAGUAAUGCACUGAAAACCUAAGUUACAUUGAUUUUUUUUUUUUUUUUUGGUCAUGUUUUGCUCCCUGUCAUCAAUGUAAGAGAGAUUAUCUAAAGGACAGUUUUGUGCAAUUCAGAUACAACAGAAAGAUGGAAAACAAUCCCACUCUCACCAUCGUAAGUGACAUAGGGGACUUGAAAUCCUUUGCCACUGUUUCCUUCAUUUGACUUGAACUGAAUCCAUAGCUUCCUUGAUCUUGAAGUAAAUGCAAUAGGUCUCUCAUAAGUCUGACAUGUUUCAUAUGUAGUAAUUGAAGUAGGAGAAGCUAGGAAAGAUUAAAUAAAUAAAUGUUCUUUAUAAAAUAACUUUUUGCACCCUUCCUGAUCUUGAUGUCAAAAAUGUCAAAUUAACAAAACAUUGUGGUUUACAUAUUCCCAAGAGCAGAAAUGUUUGUGAUAGAAGGCACAUACUCUUUACCUGUUUAUGAGAGGAAGGAGGUUUUCCCACAAAGGUAAUGGAAAUCCUUCCCUCUGUCCCAAGACAAGAUGCUUACGUAGACAGCAAGGUGUACCGGAUUGUUUUUGAUAUUUGCAAAAUUACUAUCAAUAUUACUCACUCUGUAUACUAUCGGCCCCAGAUACACCAGAACAAGUCAGCUGCAUCCCAGGCAGAUGUGGUGACCAGCUCCUAACACUUCCAGUAUGGGGAGUUAACCUGAUAGUAACAAACAAUUACUGCCUGCAGAAGAGUUAACGUGCCUAUGCCCAGGCCUGUGCUGCACGUGCUGCAUGGCCUUUAGGUCUGUACUGUGCUGCACAAACCUUGUAGCUGCAGGAUCACCUCAGCCAGUGCCUGGUAGUAAGAAAAGCCUGCAUGCAGCUCCCAGUGGGCACUUGUGACAAUGCCUCCUACCUGUCCUUGCCUUUAUCUAGCAGUGCAGCAACAAGUUUUCAUGAGAACAUUGUUUUUGUUUGACAGUGGAAAUUAUGAUAGAGUUGUUUUCUUGUAAGAAAACCCCAUAAUAGUUUGAAUAGCCAAAAGGGGAAAGUCUCUUCUGCACACAGAGUCUGCCCAGCAUGCUGCGUAUGGAUCAGAGGUCCACUUGAUGCUACCACUGCCUAUGGUUCCCACCAUCUAGAGAUUAUCUAUACUAUUCUAUCCUUAUAGUGCUAGUUCUAAUUAAUAGCAUUUUAAGUGAUAUCUUACAGAGACUAAGUGCCUUUAUCAUAAUGAACAAAGACAUCUGUCUAUAAAUCUGCAAAGAAAAUAUCAGUUAUCUAUACUGAAAUAAAGCAGACAGUUUGGGAACCAGGAAAAGAAAAUUCCACUCCAUAGCCAGAGGAUAAUUAGGGAAAAUAACAAGCCUAAUCUAAAACCUGAACUUGCUAAGGCUGACAGCUUUCAUCGGUAUUAGCAAAAAGAGACCUUUUCAACUGAAUGUAAUUUGGAUAAGAUCUCGGAUGAAUUCUGGAGUAAAGAUUAUACUAAUUUGAGGUUAAACUUCAAUAUUUAUAAAGAAGUCUUAAGGAUGUAACUAUUACAAUGUCCAAAGACAAACAGUCUUUGCCAGACAGAAGAUGCAAAUUCUAUUUUUCUUAAAGAUUUGUAGAAAUUUUGAAGUGUUAUUUCUGUCCAGGUACAGAAAAUGCCAAUAUCCAACCAACUUAUCUAACAACACUAGAUCUACCUAUAGUAUUGCCCUGCAACAUACCUGUACAGUGAGUGUUUUUAAUGUGUUCCAGACUAGCGUGAAUUAAUUUUUAAAAGUUACUUCUUACUAUACAAAAGUGGCAGAGUUAAGGUGAUAUAGCAAGGCUAACAGCUGAAUAAAC